UACGUAGGGUGCAAGCGUUAAUCGGAAUUACUGGGCGUAAAGGGCUCGUAGGCGGCCCUCUCAGUCGGAUGUGAAAUCCCCAGGCUCAACUUGGGAACGGCAUCCGAUACUGGAGGGCUUGAAUUCGGGAGAGGGAUGCAGAAUUCCAGGUGUAGCGGUGAAAUGCGUAGAUAUCUGGAGGAAUACCGGUGGCGAAGGCGGCAUCCUGGACCGAGAUUGACGCUGAGGAGCGAAAGCUAGGGGAGCAAACGGG
RNAcentral lists this ribosomal RNA (253 nucleotides) under uncultured bacterium. RNAcentral's name for it is "partial 16S ribosomal RNA". It matches the Rfam family "Bacterial small subunit ribosomal RNA", at positions 524 to 776 of the family's 1533-position model. The record is from RNAcentral.